Molecule: small RNA, 5228 nt
Filed under: Pan troglodytes (chimpanzee)
Lineage: Eukaryota; Metazoa; Chordata; Mammalia; Primates; Hominidae
Description: processed transcript
Source: RNAcentral
GGGUCCCAAGCAUUCGGUAGUUCCUAGUAAAAGCCAGAUGACCACCUCGUCGGAGUCUCUGCAAAGCUUUGCCUUUGGCUCCCUCUCCAUAAGCAGCAAGGAGACAGAAGAGAAGGAGGAGGGGGCAGCUGGCUAUCUUGAUAUUAAGGAGAUGCCAAGAGGCCCAACUGGGGAAUGUAUAGGAGUGGAGGAACAGGCCAGUGCCUUAAAGUUCUCAGUAACACCAGCUUCCUGUCAGCUGCAACCUGGUGUAAAAAAGGCAGAGAGUAGUGAAGAACAUGUUACACCAGGAGAGCCACUUGGAAAACAAAAUGGAUCAUUUCUUGACUUUCAUGUGGGUAACCAGUUCCCCACCCUCAUUCGAAGUUUCCAGGUAGUAAUUUAUUCAAUGAUGCAGGUCUAAUGACUGUCUUUGGAAGAGGGCCAGAAUCUGUCCUGUGGAGGAGGUGGUGGUGGUGUGGUGAGGGUAGUGGCCUCCCUGCUGUUUUCAAAAUCACAGACUAAAAUAAAGCCUUUGAUUGUGCCAAAGAAAUUCAUUCAGAGCAAUUAACUGCAUGGCUAGAAAUGCUUUCUUCUCUGAUAACUUAACAAAACUCCAGCUGUCAGUCUUUAUGAAGCUGGUUAAGUGUGUUCAUCUUUUCCUUGCUCAAGUGUGGGCUAUGGAAAGAGGUGAAUUGCGGUGACUUCUGUGGUGAGGAGGCUUCAGUGUUCUGAGACCAUGCUUAAAAAAUUCAAAUACUCUUAAUUAAAGGGGCAACUCAUCUUCUUAUGAGAUUUCAGGCCCCAAAUAAUGUAUGUACUGCAGCCACAUUGUGCAGCCCACCACUCCCACUGACCCCACCCACAAGAGCAUUCAGGAUCAUAGGCACUGAUUUCCUAUGCUAAGGUGGUUGGCCACUUAACCUUAUUACAAUCAAAUGGUAGUUUCAGUGUGAUUUAUACUCCUGGGGAAGGUGAGCAGAUGGACAAGAAGGCCUUUGGUAUUCCACUAAUGUUCAUUCUUCUGAAAUUCUGGGAUUAAUCACCAGGUGGUGGUAGAACUGAUUGUUUUUUUCUUUCCAGUUUUCCAAAUACUGUCUCUUCUCAAUAACUCCAAAGUGAAUCUCUGACAUUGAUUUGAAAGAAGUUAAUGAAUUCGAGGGUAAUGCAUUCCAUUGCCACUGCUGUUUCAUGUACCAUUUGUACUUAGUGGAGGAAAUGUGGCUGAUUUUCUUAAUUAUAAUGGUACAGACACAAGGACAAAUCAAAGUGAUUGCUAUUUGGCAAAUCGUUUUAUAUUCAAAUUCUGAAGGUCAGUCUGAAGUGUUUUAUAUCACCAAUCAUAACUGUCUGCUCUUACAGCUUUCCAUUAAGCUUAUGAAACUGAUUACAGUAAUGCUGCUUUUUAAUAUCCCUCAUGAUUUGACACCUUGUCAGGGUUACUUUGGAAUACUGUCGAAGUCUUAGGCAGGGUAAACACCUUUGUAGAUUGAGCUAGCUCUGUACUUAAUUAAAGCUAACACUUUGAUCAGAUCAGUGUCAGAAGAUUACUUCUCCAUUGCCUUCAGAAAUACUCUAGUAACUCUUUCCUUACUGCUUCACAGCCUCCCCUGGUGAAGACACAAACUGUCACCAUCUCAGAUAAUGCCAAUGCUGUGAAAAGUGAAAUCCCAACCAAAGACGUCCCUAUUGUCCACACUGAGACCAAGACCAUCACUUAUGAGGCUGCCCAGACUGACGACAACAAUGGAGACUUGGACCCAGGAGUCUUGCUGACAGCUCAAACUAUCACAUCUGAGACCCCAAGCAGCACCACCACAACUCAAAUUACCAAGACUGUAAAAGGUGGGAUUUCAGAGACACGUAUUGAAAAGAGAAUUGUGAUCACAGGAGAUGCUGAUAUUGACCAUGAUCAGGUCCUUGUACAAGCCAUCAAGGAGGCAAAGGAGCAGCACCCAGACAUGUCAGUGACCAAGGUGGUCGUCCACCAGGAGACCGAGAUUGCUGAUGAGUGAGCUCAGGAACUAACCUACCCCAACUCUGCCCUUCUCCCAUCCAAGAGAAACCAGCAAAAUGAUAAAGAAGCUAACCUGCCAUAGUCAGACUUCAGACUUUCAAGAUUAUUCUAAAUCACCAGAAAAUUAAUUUCAUUUUCUAUUGGGAGUUUAUACCAAGAGAUUCUUCUAGAUCUCAUUGAUCCUUUUGAAGAGCUUUUUCUAUAUUAGGAUAUCAGAAUUGUUCAACUUUUCACUCUAUAGACUGUUUUAAGAGUUUUGGGGUUUUUUUAAUUGGGUGGUUUGUAACCCCUUCAGCCUAGCCUCUCUGCCCAUUUAUUUCCAACCCCAACAGACACUGACAGGGUCCACGGAAUUCUUCAGGAAAUCCUCCAAGGACUCUUGUCAGCUGUGUUGGAGGCCAAAGCCAGCUUAGUGGGACUUCCGCGUCUCUCCCUAGUCUUAUCCCCUUUGGAUGACGGCAGAAACUUCAUGAACCAGCCCUUUCUCAGAGCCAGUGAUGUGAGUGUAUCAGAAUGCCAGGGAGAGCACCAGCCCUGAUCCACAGACCUCGGAACGAUGCCCCUGUUCCUUUGUUGCGGGUGGUUUUGGUAAGGCAGAGCCCUCUGCUGAGAAUGUAGUAUUGUUUUUCCCCUCUCCCUCCUGCUUUCUUUUUGGAGCUUCUUUGGGUCAAAGACAUGGAAGUUGCUUCAGAUAUCUGAUACUGUGAAUGUUUGAACAUACCCGUGGCCUUCACCUCUCCAGCUACCCUUUUACCUCAUCAGAAGCAGUGGCUCAGCUAAGUGCUCCCCCUAGCUCCCAUCUCAGGAGACCAAAUCUCACAGAAAAAUAGGCACUUUGGGCCAAAAGCUCUAAUGGAACAUUUUUAGUGGUGAUUUGGGGAAGGAAAGUUAAUGAGGUUUUUAAAAAGAAGGUUUUCUAGUUUUGAGAGUGUGCACUUCACACAGGGGAAUGGGGUUACUUCUGUCUGAUCCUGGGCCUUUCUUUCAUCCCAAAUGACAAGGAAUGUGGCUCAGAGAAGGGUUUUUCUUUUUUGACCUUUCUUCUCUCAACAGGAACCUGCCUGAGGACACCCUUCUAGAGCAAGGAAUUGACUUUUAGGAGCCGUUCUCCCCACAAGACACCACAUGACAAGGGGUAUAAGCCCCAGCCCUGCUCAUUCCCACUCACCAGCUGAGGUCUGUCAGGUUUUGAAGGCUUGAUUUUGUGGUGGGUUUGGGGCUUAGUUUUCCUUUUUUUCAUUUUGAUUUUUGAAAGUGAAGAUGAUGCCCUAAUUCCUGGUGAGGAUUUGGGGCAUAGUUUUUUGUUUUUUUGAGACGGAGUUUCGCUCUUGUUGCCCAAGCUGGAGUGCAGUGGCGCGAUCUCGGCUCACUGCAACCUCCGCCUCCUGGGUUCAAGCAGUUCUCUUGCCUCAGCCUCCCAAGUAGCUGGGAUGACAGGCGCACACCACCACGCCCAGCAAAUUUUUUGUAUUUUUAGUAGAAACGGGAUUUCACCUUGUUAGCCAGGCUGGUCUCGAACUCCUGACCUCAGGUGAUCCACCCACCUUGGCCUCCCAAAGUGCUGGGAUUACAGGUGUGAGCCACCACGCCCGGCCGAUUUGGGGCAUUUUUAUUUAACAGAACUUCUCUAACCUUCCAACUGCUUCCCACAAACACAUUGGCCUCAAGGCUCCUUAGAAUCCCAGUUCCAGGCUAGAAGUGAACUUCCUAAAAUAGACAGUGGGUAUCGGGCAGCAGUCACUGGGGCUCCAGGGCAGUGAGCAAGAGAAAUGUCUAAAGCUGCUUCUCCCAACACCGUCCAAAGUCUCCACUGCCUGAGUUUUGUUUCGGCUGGUUUGAACUCAUUUCGGGUGUGUGCAUUUUUCUUUUGGUACCCAUGUGAGACAUGAACAACAGGAGGGAGGGAAAGAGCCCAGGUGGGACGUGGGACAGGCUUAGGGGAAAGAGCUUGUCCUAUCUCAGGAACAAAGUUAUAGGCUGUGGGCAGAGGGUCUGAAAGGUGGGCUUUGGGGUAGUGCCCAAGCCUGGUCGUGUUGCCAGGAGUGGUGACAAGAAAUGCAGCUUACAUCAAACGAACAUGUAGUGCAUGCCCACUGCCUGAUGGCCAGAUGGCCUGUAGGAAGAGCUACCAGGGUUUCCAGACCUGUGGAACGAAGAGGAUGGGGAAAAGGCAGAGGGCACUGAGUGUCCCUUUAAAAACUAACACACUGAAUAUUCCGUGUGAUCUAGAACAGUGUGGCAGCUUUCACAGCACAGGACUGUUCAUCGGGGGCCUAAACGUUUCCCUCAGCUCUGUCACCAACUCACUUCUCUCGGCUUCAUUGUCUGUAAAUUGGAUGAAAAGAGCUCUAAUGCCUUUCAGGCUCUUAGAAGCCAUAGAUUUGGACAAGCCCAGCAAGAUGGGUGUCCUUCCAGGCCUCUUCCCCUUUCCGCCAUCUCUGGCAACAGUUCUUGGGGUUUGGCAAUUGUUUGGAUUUUUUUUUCUUUCUGCAGUUGUGUGUAUGUGUGUUUGUGUGAAGAAAAACAGACUCUGUCCAGGUAGAAAUGGUGAGGAGGGGGAAGAGAAUUACAUUUCCAGGGUCAGAAACUUGGCAACAGUUUUCCUAGAGUGACUCAGACACACCACAGUAACAACUCUCGCUGCAAUUUUAUUUUAAUUUGAGAAAUAAAGAUUUCCUCCAAGCCACAUGAGGACUCUGGCACCCACCCACAAAGCAAGACCUGUAUUUAUAAGCCGAGGGCUCAGGGAGCCUAACUGCGGGACCCGUCAGGGCCCCGUGACCCAUCCCCGUCCCCACCCCCCCCCACCGCCGGGCCCAUCAGUGUGUGUUGGGGCGAUGCUUGGCAGCUGGGGGUGAGGAGACAAACCUCGGGAACUGGAGCCAGAGCUGCGGCCUAACUGACGCCUUUUGAUGCUCACGGGAAAUUUCUGCCCAGGAUCUCAGCCCCAGGCUGGUUGUUUCUACAAAUCUCUCUCAAAUGUAUUAUUUUGGUGACAAAAAUGAAGGAGCUUUGUAAAUUUUUUUAAAAUUAUGAAUCAUAUCAAGUAGUUGUUUACAUUUCUUGAAAAAAUAGGAACUCGGGCAGCAGAAUCAGAUUGGCAGAAUCUUUAGACUACACAGGCAAUAAUCAAGUCUGCUGUUUUGGCCUUUCGUAGUAGAAGUGGUUGUAGUGUUUAGAUAUCUGGUCUUGCUUCUUGUAUUGCAUUUUUUUCAAUAAACAACAACAAAAA